GGUGGGAUAGCUCAGUGGUAGAGCACUUGCCUAGUAUGUGUGAUGUCCUGGGAUCAAAUCUCAGCACCA
This 69-nucleotide transfer RNA is filed under the name Cavia porcellus (domestic guinea pig). It matches the Rfam family "tRNA". From Rfam's summary of the family: Transfer RNA (tRNA) molecules are approximately 80 nucleotides in length. Their secondary structure includes four short double-helical elements and three loops (D, anti-codon, and T loops). Further hydrogen bonds mediate the characteristic L-shaped molecular structure. tRNAs have two regions of fundamental functional importance: the anti-codon, which is responsible for specific mRNA codon recognition, and the 3' end, to which the tRNAs corresponding amino acid is attached (by aminoacyl-tRNA synthetases). tRNAs cope with the degeneracy of the genetic code in two manners: having more than one tRNA (with a specific anti-codon) for a particular amino acid; and 'wobble' base-pairing, i.e. permitting non-standard base-pairing at the 3rd anti-codon position. Lineage: Eukaryota; Metazoa; Chordata; Mammalia; Rodentia; Caviidae. The record is from Rfam by way of RNAcentral.